UCUUUAUUCCUUUCCUUCAUUGGAGCUUUGAAUUAACUGAGCUGAAUUGAGACCAGCUGAAGAACAGUUCUAAUGUGCAUUCUGUUACAUAGCAAACUGGUAUCUUUACAGAGAAGGAAGGGGCAAAGUGGGUAGCUUCUGAGGAGGUCUUUGAAGGAAGAGUCACCAUCUACCUAGAUCAUAAUUGUACUCAAGGAACAUGAACUCAAUGGUCGCCACUUGUCAGAGUCCUCAGGAUGGUUCCCACCAACAGGGAAAGUGAGGACCUUAGUGUUGCCACACUUGUUCCUACUACUUUGGCCACCCAGAGAAGAUCAGCAGCAGCACUGGGAGACCAGCAGAAAGCAGAGGCAGGAGGACUUACAGGAAGCAUGGGACAAACCUGGAAGAGAAUCAGUGGAGAAGUUUCCCUUGUGUAUUGUUUUCUAAGAAGCAAGGAGUGUACAAUGCACAGCAUAACAUGCUGUUCUUCAGAGUUUAGGUCCUGAUCUCAAUUAGUCACCGUGAUUCUAAACAUUCAGAGCUGGGUGAUUACUGUAGUAUCAGAGAUAGGGGCAGCUCCUGGAUGAGAGCUGGGGUCUCAUGGGGCUGUUGUGCAUGUCUUUAAACUCCUGUUUGACAUUAGACAUGUAACAGUGGAUGAAUGCAAUGCAGCAAAUAAGUUAAAAAAAAAGCAUGAUUUUUACCGUUAUUUUAUUUCAAAUCAUUUCAAGUUUCAAAUCAAGGUCACUGACUUGUGACCACUGAAUACAGACAUGGCAUAAGAGAAGCAAACACACUUAAUCUGGUGUUAGCACGCUUUAAAAUGUGUUUUUAAACACCAAGAACUAAAUUAUGCCUCAGUGAAAUUUUACCAUUGACUUCCAAAACCGAAGCCCUAUUCAGCUUCAGUGAGUUCAGAAUCUCCUUAUGAAUUUUAAAUGCUGCUUCAGAUUAGAAGGUUCAUCCUAUACCCUUUUGGAGACGUAGCUCCUUUCCCUGCUUGAAGUCUGGCUGUUUUCUUUCACUCAUAUUUUGUCUUGAAUUAAUUGUAUUAUCUCAGUAUUGAGAAAUUUAAA
Molecule: long non-coding RNA, 1058 nt
Organism: Pezoporus occidentalis (night parrot)
Lineage: Eukaryota; Metazoa; Chordata; Aves; Psittaciformes; Psittacidae
Exons: 4
Source: RefSeq, a predicted model, not a curated record